GUUUGUAGCCUCCUGUAUAUUUGAGGCCCUUACUGUGACUACUCACUGGCAUUUUCACUUGUGAAUUCCUUCUGACGUCUUUACCCCACGACACUUGAGUGCUUUCUGCAUGACUGUACUGUGAAGUAGUUGGCCACUGGUAAACCAUCUCUAGCUUCACAUUAACAGACCCAGAGAUGCUCUAUCUGCCUCUAAAACACACAGUGGCUGUCCCAUGAGCACUCACUUCUCCGAAUGUAUGCCUCCAGCAGUGCAGGGCAUUAUGGCCCUUCUGAAUAAGUCCAGCAAUUGCCUAUACAGGCUUUAGGAGCCUGAUCUUGAGUGCUGUGGAUCUGAGAAGACUAUUCCAAUCCUAAGCAGUUCCAAGAGGAUUUUCCCUGACCCUCCAGCCCUCUUCUGCCACAAAAUGGCUCUCUAUUCAUUCUAAAAUGGACCAGAAAGCAGAAGGAUUGCCCUUGUUUGAAAAAUAAUGCCCUUGUUUGAGGAGUCCAGGCCAAGUAACUUCAUGCAGAAGGGAAGCUUCACCAUUUGGACAGGAGCUGAGCAGAUGUGACCUCAAUGUCUGCACUGCAUUAAAGCUUCGGUGUAAAUCUGAUGACCUCAUCUCCCCACAGCCUGUGAUUAAUUCUAUUUAUAAAAUACAGCUCAGCAGAUCAAAGUUAAUCCUUUCCAUGCCAAGUGGGGAGUACACAGUGAUGGGUCACUCUGUCAAAGGGUAGGAAACUAAAUCAGGCUGCUGUUCUUCAUCACGGAGUAGGAUACAGGGCUUUUACCUUCAAGAGGAAAGGUUUAAUGACUUUGAAGAACUUGUAAUGCCCAUUUCUUGAUACCCUUAAAUUCUAUUUCAAUUUUUUACUAUCUUCAAAAAAUAUAAAAUUCCUCAAAUAUCAGACUCAUAUUUUUAUUUGUUGCACCAUACAGCUUCCAAUACCUCACCAAUACACACACACACACACACACACACACAC
Molecule: long non-coding RNA, 968 nt
Filed under: Homo sapiens (human)
Lineage: Eukaryota; Metazoa; Chordata; Mammalia; Primates; Hominidae
Description: HSALNT0376813
Source: RNAcentral